AGUUAUUGACUUGGCAGCCAGAGAACUCACUUCCCUUGCUACUCCUGGUCAAGGUACCUUAACUAUGCUAUGUUCAUCAGUCAUUAAGUUGUUUACGGUUCACUUAAUUGCCUGAAACUUCAUCUUUUUUUAUUGCAGUUGACCAAACCCAACUGGAACGUGCUAAAGCAUUUGCAAAAUCAGCUAUCUUGAAGAACCUGGAAUCAAAGGUAUGUGUACACAUGUGAAAUUUUUUAUAAUCAUGGCUGAUGCUCCACUAACAAUUAAACUCACAGGCAUCAACAACUGAAGACAUGGGGCGCCAAGCAUUGGCAUUUGGUGAAAGGUGCACUAUUUCAACAUUUCUGCUGAACCUUAAUGUUUUUGCUCGUGCCUAUGGUUCUAUUCCUUGCAAGGUCGAGAAAAACACAUUCUGCACUGGACACAUUGUAGAAAUUAUAGGCUCAGGGAUGGUGAUGUCUACUUUAAAGUUUCAGUUGGUUGAUAGAAUAAUUAAUGGCUUGAUGUUCACAGUGCCAUUUUAAUUUAUUGCACAUAUUGUAAUCAUAUUAGAAACCAGGGAGCCCUCUAUCUUUAGAUAUCACUGUUGGCUGCUGGUAAUUGGGUUACUGUUUCUCUGGAAGAUGAUGCCUACUUGUGUUUUCUAUCGGUAUGACAAGUGAUAUCUAGAGGAAAGCAUGUUUCUUACGUGGCUUAUUUAGCCAACUCUACCGUGCUAGCAGAAAUUGUAAGUACAGUUAGCAAAUGGAAACAAAAUAUAGUUGUUGAUGUUCACAAGAUCUAUAGUGACUUACUGAGUUAGGAAGAUCUCUUUGCCGCCACAGUAUUCUUGAAGUUUUUUGGGUGCUUAUCUGUAUCUUGAAGUGUGUAAUGCCUUGUAACAACAUAAUGGACAAGCUACCGUUUGCUUAAUAUGUGCUCUUACAAUAUCAUGGACUCGCAAGGCACAUCCCAUUUUUGCAAGCAAGUAAACUGACAUGCAUAACCAAUGAAUGUUAUAUAUACAAGUUGAUAAGAAAAAGAGUUCCACAUAUGGUAUCUUAUUUCUGUAUCCCUGGAAUCUGUGUAAUGUUUGCCAUGUAAAACCUUGCAGGAAACCUGUGGAGCAGCUUCUUAAGGCUGUUGAUGCUAUAACUCUGGCAGAUGUAUCAACUGUUGCUGAGAAGAUCAUCUCGUCACCAUUGACAAUGGCAUCUCAUGGAAAUGGUGAGCUCCGUGUUACCUACCGAGUCAUCUAUACCUAAUGUGUAUGAGUGCACUGUUUCUCAUUCAGUCCCCUUUGUUGUGCAGUUCUCAAUGUACCAGCCUACGAGACAGUGCGUGGCAAGUUCAGCUCGAAAUGAGGAGGCUUCUGAACAAGUUAACUGUUCAUAUUUAUUUUUCUCCAAGACCUGGUCACAUUUUUCACAAGAAAAAUAAGAUGCAUACAAUUUUGGUUAUUAACUCCUCUACUGUGGGAUAACUUUGGGAUCUUAUUUUUUUUUCCUCGCAAAACAUGUAUCCACCUGAAUUUGUUGGUGUGAUGUUCUCAAGAGAUAUGUUCCUGUAAAUUCAGUGAAAUCAUAUAUGGGUGGCCCUCUUUCAGUGGCAGUCCGGAAGGGUGUACAAAAUGUUCCUCCACUUUUUUGGGUUAAAGUCGAUGAAACCAGUGUCGGGGCACAGAAAUGAAUAAAGAUUCAAUAUGACGUGAAAUUUUAGAUUUGCUUUGCUCUUUUUUU
This 1718-nucleotide long non-coding RNA is filed under the name Triticum aestivum (bread wheat). Its description in RNAcentral is "long non-coding RNA (TAES_LNC025228)". Lineage: Eukaryota; Viridiplantae; Streptophyta; Magnoliopsida; Poales; Poaceae. The record is from RNAcentral.